GAGGAAUCCCCAUGAAUCCUGGCGUUUUGUAUAAUGGCAAACACUAAGAAGUAAGAUAGAAAGAGUGAAAUCCUAUUGACACUGUUGAGUCUGGACACCAUCCUAAAAAUGUCCCAUUUCACUAAUUGGAAGGGCAUCCAAGUAAGGAGAAGCUUGAUGCCAUAUGACAACAUCAGCUAAAGAAAUCAAGCCUUUUGCAAAUAGCUCUACAUGAUGUUUCUGCUAAGUGUGCCGUAUUGAUGGAGGAGGGAAAGAAAGAAGGUGUUUUAUCUUUAAGCCUCAUUUAGCUCACAGGAUGGCUGCUCACCUCAGGACAUCACAUCUACAUUCCAGCAAAGGGAUUGAAAUUCAACACAUCGCACACCUUUUCAAGCCACUAUCAUUGGAUGCUGCCACUUUCCCUGGGACCUGUUUAUCCACCAUUAAUCUCUUCAAGUCUGACCACCAACAAACCUGUGGGAUGAAGCUGGGAAUUGUCUUCUCCAAUAGCAAAGAGCUUCCUAAUGCAUGACGACAUGCAAAGAUUGGUGCUUCCCUGAGACCUGCCCACUAGUCACCACAUGCAGACAAUGGACACUUCACACCUCACUGAUGUGAACCUCCAGGAUUGACCCUUGUCUUCCACAGAGCUGGAUUUGUGAAAGGAUGACAGCAACCACAAGAAAAAGAAAUCAGUGAGCCACAUUAAAACGCCUUUAUUCCCUGCAACAGUUAAAGCAACAAAAUCUAAUGACAUGAAAUAAACACUGCAAAACUG
Molecule: long non-coding RNA, 757 nt
Filed under: Pan troglodytes (chimpanzee)
Lineage: Eukaryota; Metazoa; Chordata; Mammalia; Primates; Hominidae
Description: long non-coding RNA NONPTRT007314
Source: RNAcentral